UAACGUAGCGAAAGUUACGCUAAUACCGCAUAUUCUGUGAGCAGGAAAGCAGGGGAUCGCAAGACCUUGCGCGUUUAGGAGUGGCCGAUAUCGGAUUAGCUAGUUGGUGAGGUAAAGGCUCACCAAGGCGACGAUCCGUAGCGGGUCUGAGAGGAUGAUCCGCCACACUGGGACUGAGACACGGCCCAGACUCCUACGGGAGGCAGCAGUGGGGAAUUUUGGACAAUGGGCGCAAGCCUGAUCCAGCCAUGCCGCGUGAGUGAAGAAGGCCUUCGGGUUGUAAAGCUCUUUCGGCGGGGAAGAAAUGGCGCUUUCUAAUACAGGGCGUUGAUGACGGUACCCGCAUAAGAAGCACCGGCUAACUACGUGCCAGCAGCCGCGGUAAUACGUAGGGUGCGAGCGUUAAUCGGAAUUACUGGGCG
Molecule: ribosomal RNA, 422 nt
Filed under: uncultured bacterium
Lineage: Bacteria
Description: bacterial SSU rRNA
Rfam family: Bacterial small subunit ribosomal RNA
Source: RNAcentral